AUGGGCUCCAGGCUCCUCUGCUGUGUGACUCUCUGCCUCCUGGGAGCAGGCCUGGUGGAUUCUGAAGUCACCCAGACCCCCAAAUACCUGAUCAAGUCAAGAAAGCAGCAAGCGACUCUGAGAUGUUCCCCUGACUCUGGACACUUCUCCGUGUACUGGUACCAACAAGCCCUGGGCCAGGGCCCCCAGUUCCUCGUUCAGUAUUACAACCAGAAAGUGAGUGGAGAAGCUCACCUCCCGGAUCGAUUCUCAGGGAAACAGUUCAGUGACUCUCGCUCUGAGCUGAACCUGAGCUCCUUGGAGCUGAUGGACUCCGCCAUGUAUCUCUGUGCCAGCAGCCAAGACACAGCCCUGCAUGAUCAGAUGCCUCUGGUACAAAAACAAUCCUACCCCAGCUCAGGAAGUGGUCGCCAGGGUGUCAGUUGCCAGCCAGCGAGACCCAGACCCAGGUAG
Non-coding RNA from Budorcas taxicolor (takin), 453 nucleotides. NCBI's taxonomy places the organism in Eukaryota, Metazoa, Chordata, Mammalia, Artiodactyla, Bovidae. The record is from the annotation of a RefSeq genome assembly.